RNAcentral lists this ribosomal RNA (253 nucleotides) under uncultured bacterium. RNAcentral's name for it is "partial 16S ribosomal RNA". It matches the Rfam family "Bacterial small subunit ribosomal RNA", at positions 524 to 776 of the family's 1533-position model. The record is from RNAcentral.
UACGUAGAGUGCGAGCGUUGUCCGGAAUUACUGGGCGUAAAGAGCUCGUAGGUGGUUUGUCGCGUUGUUCGUGAAAUCUCACGGCUUAACUGUGAGCGUGCGGGCGAUACGGGCAGACUGGAGUACUGCAGGGGAGACUGGAAUUCCUGGUGUAGCGGUGGAAUGCGCAGAUAUCAGGAGGAACACCGGUGGCGAAGGCGGUUCUCUGGGCAUUACCUGACGCUGAGGAGCGAAAGUGUGGGGAGCGAACAGG